GAUGAAGAACGUAGCGAAAUGCGAUAAGUAAUGUGAAUUGCAGAAUUCAGUGAAUCAUCGAAUCUUUGAACGCACCUUGCGCUCCUUGGUAUUCCGAGGAGCAUGCCUGUUUGAGUGUCAUGAAAACCCUCAACCCUAGAUUGGUUAAUACCUUUCUUUGGUUUGGAUUUGGACGUUUGCCGAUGAUAAGUCGGCUCGUCUUAAAAGUAAUAGCUGGAUCUGUCUCGCGACAUGGUUUGACUUGGCGUAAUAAGUAUUUCGCUAAGGACAUCUUCGGAUGGCCGCGUUGCAGGACUAAAGACCGCUUUCUAAUCCAUUGAUCUUCGGAUUAAUACUCUUGACAUCUGGCCUCAAAUCAGGCAGGACUACCCGCUGAACUUAAGCAUAUCAAUAAGCGGAGGA
RNAcentral lists this unclassified non-coding RNA (402 nucleotides) under soil metagenome. RNAcentral describes it as "partial contains 5.8S ribosomal RNA, internal transcribed spacer 2, and large subunit ribosomal RNA". The stretch from base 1 to 120 matches the Rfam family "5.8S ribosomal RNA", at positions 35 to 154 of the family's 154-position model. The record is from RNAcentral.